Molecule: ribosomal RNA, 391 nt
Filed under: Lepidorhombus whiffiagonis (megrim)
Lineage: Eukaryota; Metazoa; Chordata; Actinopteri; Pleuronectiformes; Scophthalmidae
Description: partial 12S ribosomal RNA
Rfam family: Bacterial small subunit ribosomal RNA
Source: RNAcentral
CCGAUGAUCCGCCCGGAAAUUGACGAACAUUAGUUUAAAACCCAAAGGACUUGGCGGUGCUUUAUAUCCACCUGAGAGGAGCCUGUUCUAGAACCGAUAAUUCCCGUUAAACCUCAUCCUCCCUUGCUCUACCCGCCUAUAUUACCACCGUCGUCAGCUUACCCUGCAAAGGCCCAAUAGUAAGCAAAAUUGGCACAGCCCAAAACGUCAGGUCGAGGUGUAGUGGGAUGGGAGGGGAAGAAAUGGGCUACAUUUGCUAGCCAUAGCAAAUACGAAUGAUGCAUUGAAACAUGCAACUUGAAGGAGGAUUUAGUAGUGAGCAAAAAUUAGAGUGUUUAGCUUGAAACCGGCCCUUAAGCGCGCACACACCGCCCGUCAACCAAAAAAAAAA